CACUCCUACGGGAGGCAGCAGUGGGGAAUAUUGGACAAUGGGCGCAAGCCUGAUCCAGCCAUGCCGCGUGAGUGAUGAAGGCCCUAGGGUUGUAAAGCUCUUUCACCGGUGAAGAUAAUGACGGUAACCGGAGAAGAAGCCCCGGCUAACUUCGUGCCAGCAGCCGCGGUAAUACGAAGGGGGCUAGCGUUGUUCGGAUUUACUGGGCGUAAAGCGCACGUAGGCGGACUAUUAAGUCAGGGGUGAAAUCCCGGGGCUCAACCCCGGAACUGCCUUUGAUACUGGUAGUCUUGAGUUCGAGAGAGGUGAGUGGAAUUCCGAGUGUAGAGGUGAAAUUCGUAGAUAUUCGGAGGAACACCAGUGGCGAAGGCGGCUCACUGGCUCGAUACUGACGCUGAGGUGCGAAAGCGUGGGGAGCAAACAGGAUUAGAAACCCUAGUAGUCCC
RNAcentral lists this ribosomal RNA (446 nucleotides) under uncultured organism. RNAcentral describes it as "partial 16S ribosomal RNA". It matches the Rfam family "Bacterial small subunit ribosomal RNA", at positions 334 to 797 of the family's 1533-position model. The record is from RNAcentral.